UUGAGUCACUGUCCCAUGAGGCCUUGUGGCUGAACUGAUUAUGUGUCUCUUCAAGACUGCUUGACUUGUCUGUGACAAUGCCUUUGCUUUUGCAUUGGGUACGCGGAGAAGUACGUAUGGAAGCCAUUACUAAUGUACGGUUACAAAAGAUUACCAUCACAAAUUCGGUUGUUAUAUACAAACGCAUAAGCCAUUGCACAUUAAUAACAACAAACAGAGAGAUAGGAUGCUAAAUUAGACAGCAUAUCACCAUUGCACAUUAAUAACAUACAUACACAGGUUCCAUGGAACUCAGUUGUGGACAUAGUUAUGAUAGUCAUUAAUAAGUCUACCGUUUCGUAGUGGAGGAAGGCAAAGGCAACUUAAAGUCAUACUAAAACAUACUACCAACAUAUUACCAACAUACUAACAACCUCAUAACGUGUUUGUACAUACUGACAACAUCCUAACGUUGCUUACAUACGGAACAACAAAAUGACAGCGACAAUGCAUAGCACAUAGACAAUGGUCUUAAGGACACGCAAGGAUUGUUGAAUGUCUAUGACAUCAGCUCGCAAUUGCAUGACAAUUUCGUCUCUAGGUGACGCAUAGUCUUGGUUCUCUCGCCUUGGUUCUUCGCACCAACCAAUCCAAUUGGCACAGGGGUGAUGAGUGCAAAUGAUGGAACUAUUAGUCAAUGGGUUGUUAAUGUUCAUGUAGUUAUGACCGGUAAAUAAUGGUCACUCACCACAGGGCGGGGACAUGCAAAGUAGGGACGCCCUGGAUUUUUGGUGGACCUGGAAAUCUUAACAAUACAGGGGCCAUGUCCACAGGCACACAUUCGUCGUGGCCAUGUACUGGAAGUUGCAGUAGAGGUAAACGAAGCCAUGCUAUGCUUUACAAACAUACGGAAGUGAUAAUGAAUCAUAUAAGUAAUUAAUUUAUGUUAUCCAUAUAUCAGGUUAAACAUGAACUGAUAGUUCAUACGCUGAUGCACAAGUUAAACACAUAUGUAUGAAGCAUAGGGGAAAAUCCAACGGUUUGGAUUUCGUGCCAUAGUGAAGCAUAAAAUCCGCAUAACAUAUGGAGCUCUACAAGGAGAAUGAAGCAUGAACCAAAGUAAUUAAAUAUGGUGUUUUGUUAUGAAUAGGACAGGGAUGGUUUGUAUCAGAACUAAAUGGUUUCACCGUGGAGGUGAUCUAGAAAAAGAAGACCAAGGCCAGGAUUGGUCAAAACAUAUAAGUAAAAAAAAAAAAAAAAAUUAAGAUGGAUACAAACAUGAAGAGAACACGAACCCAUAAAUGUAAUGCAAUGUGAUAUACAUGUAUGUACAACCAAAUGGUUCGAUCAUAAUACACUUGUCAGUUGUCGCUGACGGAGUAGUUGUGUUUGAAGAAGUGAAGUUGUGUUUGACGGAGUAGUGGUGUUUAACAAAUCAAUUAAAAACGUUUAUGUUAUCCAUAAUAGUUGUGAAUACGCUGAUGCACAAAAACAACAGAGGGAACGCUUUCAGAUUUAUGAAUACAAUAGCAGAGGGUUUUAUUCAGAUUUACCAAUGCUAGCAAUACAUAAAUUUACAUUUAUUUCUUCAUUCACUAAUGUACGUUACCAAUGUUACAAAACAGAAAUUUGUAGCAGAGACACAGAUUUCAUUCACAGAACCCAUUCAGAGACUCACAGAUGUGAUUCAGAUAUUUCAUACACAGGACCCAUUCAGAUACUCACAGACUCACAGAUUUGAUUCACAUACUCACAUAUGUGAUUCACAGAUUUCAUUCCCAGGACCCAUAAACAUUUCAGAUCUCAUCUUUCAUUCACAGAAUCAGAUUUCAUUCAGCAUUGACAAAUCAAUGCGUGUAACAGAUCUGAAAUGUUUUAUGAGGUAAUGAAAUAUAAGAAAUGCAAGCUACUAGUGUUUAAGAGAAUGAGAAUUAUAAGAAAUCAACUUCAACUUCUGAUAUGAAAAUGUUCACAGAAUCAGAUUUCAUUCACAGAUUGAACUUUCCAUUUGUUUAACAGACAUGAUGGAGAGAUGUGAUUUCAUGAACUUUCCAUUUGAUUCACAAACUCACAGAUGUGAUUCACAGAAUCAGAUUUCAUGAACUUUCCAUUUGAUUCACAAACUCACAAAUGCGAUUCACAGAUUUCAUUGACAGGACCCAUAAACAUUUCAGAUUUCAUCUUUCAUUACAGAAUCAGAUUUCAUUUAGCAUUGACAAAUCAAUUUGAAUAACAGAUCUGAAAUGUUUUAUUAGGUAAUGAAAUAAAAGAAAUGCAAGCUACCAGUGUUUAAGAGAAUGAGAAUUAUAAGAAAUCAACUUCAACUUCUGAUAUGAAAAUGUUCACAGAAUCAGAUUUCAUUCACAGAUUGAACAAAAUGCUAAUUCUGUUGUUUAUAUAGAUACAUGGAGACAGGGUGUUUGUAAAUUCAGAAUGUUUGACAUGGAGCCAUUGGCAGAGUUAUGAACACAGAAAGUUCGUUUUCAGAGAACUUGCAAAAAAAUUGGUAUACAAAUUCCAGAAAUGACAGGGAAAAAUUGGGAAAACAUAUGAACUGCAUGUUUCAUAUUUGAGAAAAAUCUAAUUUCAGCAAUGAGAUUUCAGGUGAGGCACAACAGUGAGUUUUAUGAAGAAAAUAAUUUUGAUUUUAGAUUGGGUGACAAAUCAGGAUGUAGAAAUUGCAGAUCUCACAAAAAAAUAGGUAGGAAAAAAAACAGAAAAUGGGUGUUCAACUUUGAAAUCAUAGGGUUUACGAUUCAGAUAUCGUAAUGUGAAGAAAAUGUGUUUUCAACCACUAAUCAGCCGUAUUUUUUAUUUUCCAUGACAGAUUCAAAAUCGGAGUGAGGUUUUGCAUCUAUAUCCACACAGAUAUAACGGUGGGUUUCCCAUUCUACAAACCGAAAUGAAAAAAAUGUAACCCAAAGUGGAGGAAAAAUUUUUAAGCAGCAACAACAAUGGGUUCUAAAGAUCAAAUCACAGAUCGGGUUGAAGGAAAGGGUAUUACGCAAACAAACCCCCCC
Non-coding RNA from Camellia sinensis, 2999 nucleotides. The record is from RefSeq and is a predicted model, not a curated record. Lineage: Eukaryota; Viridiplantae; Streptophyta; Magnoliopsida; Ericales; Theaceae.